Molecule: ribosomal RNA, 1470 nt
Filed under: Burkholderia mallei 2002721280
Lineage: Bacteria; Pseudomonadati; Pseudomonadota; Betaproteobacteria; Burkholderiales; Burkholderiaceae
Description: 16S ribosomal RNA
Source: RNAcentral
GGGCCGCACGCGCGAUCGCUUCGAUCGGAUCGACUCGCGGGCGCAGGCGCGCCGAGAUCCGCACGCCGCCGCGUCGGGUGUGCGGCAUCGGCGAAGCGCCCGCCGGCGAGCGGCGGAUGAACGAGGACGGCCGGCGCGCGGCCGUGGCCGAUGGGCGCGGGCGCGCAUGCUCUACAAUGGCGCGGCCGCGCGAGCGGCCUCCGAUAACCCUUGUCCGUCCUUCCCGCUUCCCGAUGAUCGUCGACCGCCUGAUCUCCGAAAUCCUGUUCGGCUUCACCGGCCUCAUGGGCAUCAUCAAUCCGUUCGGCAUCGCGUUCCUGUUCCUCGAGCGCACCGAGUCGCUGACCGAGGCGCAGCGCGCGGCGCUCGCGCGCAAGGUCGCGAUCAACGCAUUCAUCGUGCUGCUCGCCGCGUUCUUCGUCGGCAUCUCGCUCGAGGCGCUGCGCAUCGGCGGCGGCCUCGCGGUCGCGGUGGCGGGCUGGCAGAUGCUCAACGAGCCGGACGUGCCGACGGGCGGCGACACCGCCGCGCAGCCCGUCGAGCCGCGCAACGCGAUGGCGCGCGCAUUCUUCCCGCUGACGAUUCCGCUGACCACCGGCCCCGGCUCGAUCGCGACCGCGAUCGCGCUGAACGCGAACCGCACGCACAAGCUCUCGGAGUUCGUGCUGUCGAGCAUCGUGUCGGUCGCGGUAUCGGCGCUCGCCGCGCUCGUGAUCUGGCAGACGUACAGUCGCGCCGCGUUUCUCGCGCGCUAUCUCGGCACCGAGGGCACGAAGGUCGCGAUGCGCGUGUCGGCGUUCCUGCUGCUGUGCGUCGGCGUGCAGAUCAUGCUCACGGGCUUCUCCGAGUUCCUGCGGCCGAUCGCCGAUCAGGUGAAGUGAAGGCGGCUCGAUGCCGCCCCUGGCGGGCGACGCGUCGCGCCGGCGCGAAACGCGCGCGCCGGGAGGGCGGCGCCCGCCGUGCCGGUCGUAUCGAUCCGUAUCGAUUUGUGUCGAUGGCCUCGCGUACGAAGCGGGUGCGGCACGGGCGCAUGCGAGAGACGCCGCGCGAUCGGGCCGCCCGGCGCGCGGCGCGCCCGCGCGCGUCGGGCAAGCGCGCGGCGGCGUCAUGCGCGCGAUGGCGCGCGCGACAGGCGCCGGGCGGGCGGCCGCGAUGCAGGCGGGCUUCGCCGCCGGCGCGAAACGCGCGUCGCGCGCGGCCCGGUUGCGCCGCGCACGCCGAGACGCGUCAGCGGGCCACCGCGAGCAUCGGAUACGUGAAGAGCCCGAAAUGCGCGAGAUUCAGGCCGACGUGCGCGAGCACGGCCGCCUGCAACCCGCCUGCGCGAUAAGCGAGCCCGUAGCCGACGCCCGCGACGGUGGCGAGCGCGACCCAUUGCCAGCCGCCCGCGGCGUGCGCGGCGCCGAACAGCAGCGCGGCCGCGACGAGCGCGACCGUGCCCGCGGCCGGCACGCGGUUCGCGAGCAGUCG